This 1239-nucleotide ribosomal RNA is filed under the name metagenome. RNAcentral describes it as "bacterial LSU rRNA". It matches the Rfam family "Bacterial large subunit ribosomal RNA", at positions 1564 to 2815 of the family's 2925-position model. The record is from RNAcentral.
UGAAUACGAGAUGCUACGGCGUCGAAGCAGUGUAUGUCAGACUUCCAAGAAAAGCUCGCAAUGUCAUAAAUAAAGAAUGCCUGUACCAUAACCGACACAGGUGGGUAGGUAGAGUAUACUAAGGGGCGCGAGAUAACUCUCUCUAAGGAACUCGGCAAAAUAACUCCGUAACUUCGGGAGAAGGAGUGCCUUCUUUAAGAAGGUUGCAAUAACAAGAUCCAAGCAACUGUUUAUCAAAAACACAGGUCUCCGCUAAGUCGUAAGACGAUGUAUGGGGGCUGACGCCUGCCCAGUGCCAGAAGGUUAAAGAAGUUGGUUAGCUUUUGCGAAGCUGAUGACUGAAGCCCUGGUGAACGGCGGCCGUAACAAUAACGGUCCUAAGGUAGCGAAAUUCCUUGUCGGGUAAGUUCCGACCCGCACGAGAGGCGUAAUGAUUUGGAUACUGUCUCGGAGAGGGACUCGGUGAAAUAGACUUGUCUGUGAAGAUGCGGACUACCUGCACCAGGACAGAAAGACCCUAUGAAGCUUUACUGUAACUUGAAAUUGAAAUUGGACUUUAUUUGCGCAGUAUAGGUGGAAGGCGUUGAAAGUAAUCUUGCGGGAUUAGUGGAGCCAUCAGUGAGAUACCACUCCUAUAAUGUUAGAUUUCUAACUUUGGAUCAUGAUCUGGUCAAAGAACAGUUUCAGGGCAGUUUGACUGGGGCGGUCGCCUCCCAAAUGGUAACGGAGGCGUACAAAGGUUUCCUCUGAACGGGUAGAAAUCGUAUCUAGAGUGUAAAGGCAUAAGGAAGCUUGACUGUGAGACCUACAAGUCGAGCAGGGACGAAAGUCGGUCUUAGUGAUCUGACGGUGCUGAGUGGAAAGGCCGUCACUCAACGGAUAAAAGUUACUCUAGGAUAACAGGCUGAUCUCCCCCAAGAGUUCACAUCGACGGGGAGGUUUGGCACCUCGAUGUCGGCUCAUCGCAUCCUGGGGCGGUAGUACGUCCCAAGGGUUGGGCUGUUCGCCCAUGAAAGCGGUACGCGAGCUGGGUUCAGAACGUCGUGAGACAGUUCGGUCCAUAUCCGGUGUAGGCGUUAGAAUAUUGAGAGGAGCCUUCUUUAGUACGAGAGGACCGAGAAGGACAUACCUCUGGUGUACCAGUUAUCGUGCCAACGGUAAACGCUGGGUAGCUAUGUAUGGAGAGGAUAACCGCUGAAAGCAUCUAAGUGGGAAGCCCACCUCAAGAUGAGUAUUCUG